AAAAAAACAAACAAAAACAAACCAUGUGGUUUGUGGUUCCCUGGUAGUCUAGUGGCUAAAGUUUGGCGCUUUCACCGCCGGGAAAAGGUUGAUUCCAGAUCAGGGUACGGGGUCUUGGCCUCACUGUGUGGUAUUGUUCUUUCCUGUGUUUGCCAUCUACCACCGCUGUGGCUCAAUUAUUCCAAGACUGCUGGAGAAAUGGGAGUUAAUGUCGAUCCUAAAAUUUAAGCUAUUUAUCUAGGAUAAACUCCAAAUAGUGGAACUGCUAGGUGAAAUGUAGUGUGAAUUUAAGAUUCCGAUGUCUACAGCCCACCAACGUAUAAGCACCAAUUACAUGCCCCAAAGUGUGAGACUGCAUCUUCUCUGCAGCAUUUAAAACCAACUCUAGAAAUGAUCAAUCUUUUAGAGAUAAUUUUAAGCUAUAUUUAUCAUCAAAGGAUUUCUUUAUAGUCAAUUUUCCCUUAGACUAUAAAUCCACAAGAGAUGGCAAAGCUGGAAGAACUUCCCAGAAUUUCAGUAAACUUGAAUUCAAUAGUCUCUCUGUUCUCUCCUGUUUUGGCAUCUACUCUUUUCUUCCAGGUGUGUGCGUGCUGUUGUGUUGAUCCCUCUCGUCUCUCAGAAAACUCAUUGUAGGCCCAAGUCGAUGAAGGGACGGACUGUGAAAGAAUGGAUGCGGAGCGUGGACUGACUAUGUAGUGCCCACUGAAUCGAAAAUGUUGCUAAAAUUGCUUUUCUGCGAUUGUCUAACAUUCCUCUGAGUCACCUCGUCUGCUGCUUAAAAACCCAAAAGCAUUUUCUUCACUGUCUUGUAGCCAUUGUUAUAAACUCCACUCUGCUCCUCCUAUGUCAACUACCACAGUCUGUUUCAUUGCAUGGCCCUAAAGGCAGAGCCAUGUUUCCAACUUUAAGUGCACUAAGGGUAUCCCCAGUGGAUGUUAAUGGUUCUCUUAGGGUUUUUUUGUUUUUUGGUUUUUUUGACAUAUAAGUCCAUAAUUGGAGGAAUGUGAAAAAUAUUUUUUCCUCCGGAAG
RNAcentral lists this long non-coding RNA (1029 nucleotides) under Macaca mulatta (Rhesus monkey). RNAcentral describes it as "lncRNA (ENSMMUG00000061239.1)". The record is from RNAcentral. Lineage: Eukaryota; Metazoa; Chordata; Mammalia; Primates; Cercopithecidae.